CGUCAAGAUGGUUGAUAUCGGAGGAGAGGGCAUCCCGUGCAUUGUUAUUGAAGUAAUCAAAGAACCUCGCAAUGGUAAAGUCGGUCUUGGUUUCAGCAUUGGUGGCGGAAUGAUCAAGAUCCAUCCAAGAAUCCGAUAUCCCCAAAUGAUAAUGGCAUUUUUGUAACGAAUGUUGCGCAGGGCGGUCCUGCUGACAGGGCUGGACUCAGAUACGCAGACAAAAUACUAGAGGCAAAUGGUUUUGAUUUAACCAUGGCAACGCAUAAACAUGCUGUAAAAUUACUGUCGAAAGAGAGAGAGCCAAGAGUUGUAAUGAAAGUUACAAGACCAGGAUUGGUUCCACCGCACUGAUCUAUUGCCUUUGUAAAAAAUUUUCCUCAUCAAAUAGCGGAACUUAUUGCCAUGCCAGCUUACCAGACAAGAAACACAUAGCAAAGCCAAUUUAUUAUAUAAAUCCAGCUCUGUCCAAAUCAGUGGCUUUUUCUCACUUCUCAUUGGUCAGUGACUGACUGCAUGCCAGGUGUUACUGUUUCAUCAACCAAUAGUUUUGGACAAUGAAUUUUUGCUGAAACUUUUAUAAGAUAAAAUGUUGCAAGCAAUUUUGAUAAUUCUAGAUGCAGAUAAUAUAUGGUGUAUAUAAAGGGUGUUUGGUCAUCUUAUUGUCACAGUGAAGCUACAAUCUGAUUAAAAUGAGAUGUAUU
This is a long non-coding RNA of Saccoglossus kowalevskii, 701 nucleotides long. The record is from RefSeq and is a predicted model, not a curated record. NCBI's taxonomy places the organism in Eukaryota, Metazoa, Hemichordata, Enteropneusta, Harrimaniidae.